GAGCGUGGGAGGAUCUCUUGAGUGUGGGAGGUCAAGGCUGCAGUGAGCUGUGAUCAUACCACUGCACUCCAGCCUGGGUGACACAGCAAGACCCUGUCU
MicroRNA precursor from Rhinopithecus bieti (black snub-nosed monkey), 99 nucleotides. The record is from Ensembl. Lineage: Eukaryota; Metazoa; Chordata; Mammalia; Primates; Cercopithecidae.